Molecule: ribosomal RNA, 707 nt
Filed under: Escherichia coli
Lineage: Bacteria; Pseudomonadati; Pseudomonadota; Gammaproteobacteria; Enterobacterales; Enterobacteriaceae
Description: bacterial SSU rRNA
Rfam family: Bacterial small subunit ribosomal RNA
Source: RNAcentral
GUGCCCUUGAGGCGUGGCUUCCGGAGCUAACGCGUUAAGUCGACCGCCUGGGGAGUACGGCCGCAAGGUUAAAACUCAAAUGAAUUGACGGGGGCCCGCACAAGCGGUGGAGCAUGUGGUUUAAUUCGAUGCAACGCGAAGAACCUUACCUGGUCUUGACAUCCACGGAAGUUUUCAGAGAUGAGAAUGUGCCUUCGGGAACCGUGAGACAGGUGCUGCAUGGCUGUCGUCAGCUCGUGUUGUGAAAUGUUGGGUUAAGUCCCGCAACGAGCGCAACCCUUAUCCUUUGUUGCCAGCGGUCCGGCCGGGAACUCAAAGGAGACUGCCAGUGAUAAACUGGAGGAAGGUGGGGAUGACGUCAAGUCAUCAUGGCCCUUACGACCAGGGCUACACACGUGCUACAAUGGCGCAUACAAAGAGAAGCGACCUCGCGAGAGCAAGCGGACCUCAUAAAGUGCGUCGUAGUCCGGAUUGGAGUCUGCAACUCGACUCCAUGAAGUCGGAAUCGCUAGUAAUCGUGGAUCAGAAUGCCACGGUGAAUACGUUCCCGGGCCUUGUACACACCGCCCGUCACACCAUGGGAGUGGGUUGCAAAAGAAGUAGGUAGCUUAACCUUCGGGAGGGCGCUUACCACUUUGUGAUUCAUGACUGGGGUGAAGUCGUAACAAGGUAACCGUAGGGGAACCUGCGGUUGGAUCACCUCCUUA